RNAcentral lists this ribosomal RNA (566 nucleotides) under Arthrobacter sp. JA15. RNAcentral's name for it is "bacterial SSU rRNA". It matches the Rfam family "Bacterial small subunit ribosomal RNA", at positions 89 to 667 of the family's 1533-position model. The record is from RNAcentral. Lineage: Bacteria; Bacillati; Actinomycetota; Actinomycetes; Micrococcales; Micrococcaceae.
GGAUUAGUGGCGAACGGGUGAGUAACACGUGAGUAACCUGCCCUUAACUCUGGGAUAAGCCUGGGAAACUGGGUCUAAUACCGGAUAUGACUCCUCAUCGCAUGGUGGGGGGUGGAAAGCUUUUUUGUGGUUUUGGAUGGACUCGCGGCCUAUCAGCUUGUUGGUGAGGUAAUGGCUCACCAAGGCGACGACGGGUAGCCGGCCUGAGAGGGUGACCGGCCACACUGGGACUGAGACACGGCCCAGACUCCUACGGGAGGCAGCAGUGGGGAAUAUUGCACAAUGGGCGCAAGCCUGAUGCAGCGACGCCGCGUGAGGGAUGACGGCCUUCGGGUUGUAAACCUCUUUCAGUAGGGAAGAAGCGAAAGUGACGGUACCUGCAGAAGAAGCGCCGGCUAACUACGUGCCAGCAGCCGCGGUAAUACGUAGGGCGCAAGCGUUAUCCGGAAUUAUUGGGCGUAAAGAGCUCGUAGGCGGUUUGUCGCGUCUGCCGUGAAAGUCCGGGGCUCAACUCCGGAUCUGCGGUGGGUACGGGCAGACUAGAGUGAUGUAGGGGAGACUGGAAU